This 999-nucleotide long non-coding RNA is filed under the name Gossypium barbadense (sea-island cotton). Its description in RNAcentral is "long non-coding RNA (GBAR_LNC001154)". Lineage: Eukaryota; Viridiplantae; Streptophyta; Magnoliopsida; Malvales; Malvaceae. The record is from RNAcentral.
AAAAACCUCUGAAAUUCUUCCCAGUCCUCUGAGCUCCGGCCCUAGGCCGGUCUGCUCCGUUCAUCGGACCUCCAUGCUCAGCCCCACGCACCGUCACCAACUCCGCCACACACAGUGGUCGGGAUCUGAAAAGCUUUACUUUUCUCGGCAAAUCUAAAAGGUACUUCUUUCUCCUCUGUUUUUCAAUGUAUUAUAUGCAGAUUGCUUGCAAUAAAAUAAAAAAAUAUAAAAGUAGAAAGAGAACAAUAGAUCACCUUCGUUUCUCGUGAAAUCUUUAUGGUAUAUUAUUGCAAAAAUAUUUGGUGUACAAUAUCUUUGUGGUGUAUCUCUGGUGUUUUUCUUUGUGUGUGUGUGUAAAAAUCUUUGCGUGUGUAAGUGUGUAAAUCUCUGCCUAUGUGUGUAAAAAACGUAAGUCUCCCCCCCUCUUUACAGGUUUGAAAAAGGCUUUAUAGCCUGGAAGCUGUUCUGUUUUGGAAAGAAAUCUUAAAUUUCUUUCCAUAUCUGUUUAGGUCUAUCCACUGAUUUUAUUUGUUUUGAUUUCUUUCCAUUUCUUGCAGGUGACCGCAAAAAUCACGGUGGUUGCUGGCGUGGACUCAUGCUGACGAUGAUUCGGCACGAUUGGUGGAAAUGGCCCUAACACGGUGCUGAAAUUUCGAUCCACUGGUGGAGGCGUGAUCGGUGGCCGAGCUGAAAGGUCGUGGUGCAUUGAAGGGCCUGUGACAAUACAUUGAUGACCUGAGGCAGAUCAUUGAUAGCCGUCUCGAUUUUGGGGAACUGGACAGACGCUCCCCGAAUCUUCCAGAAGCAGUGGCGGCUCGAGGAGAAAAAAGGCAGAAACCCUAGGGUUUCUUGCCUUGGUGUAAUAGGCUGGGCUAGUUGGGCCGCUUUAGUCCUGGGCUAAUUGUAUAACAGGUUUAAGUUUGGGUUUGAAAAUUAUUGGGCUGAGUGGGUAAUGGUCUGAGGUUUUAAGUAUUUGGGCCACAAACACUUGGGCUUUUG